This 607-nucleotide ribosomal RNA is filed under the name uncultured bacterium. RNAcentral describes it as "bacterial SSU rRNA". It matches the Rfam family "Bacterial small subunit ribosomal RNA", at positions 331 to 929 of the family's 1533-position model. The record is from RNAcentral.
CCAGACUCAUACGGGAGGCAGCAGUAGGGAAUCUUCCACAAUGGGCGCAAGCCUGAUGGAGCAACACCGCGUGAGUGAAGAAGGGUUUCGGCUCGUAAAGCUCUGUUGUUAAAGAAGAACACGUAUGAGAGUAACUGUUCAUACGUUGACGGUAUUUAACCAGAAAGUCACGGCUAACUACGUGCCAGCAGCCGCGGUAAUACGUAGGUGGCAAGCGUUAUCCGGAUUUAUUGGGCGUAAAGAGAGUGCAGGCGGUUUUCUAAGUCUGAUGUGAAAGCCUUCGGCUUAACCGGAGAAGUGCAUCGGAAACUGGAUAACUUGAGUGCAGAAGAGGGUAGUGGAACUCCAUGUGUAGCGGUGGAAUGCGUAGAUAUAUGGAAGAACACCAGUGGCGAAGGCGGCUACCUGGUCUGCAACUGACGCUGAGACUCGAAAGCAUGGGUAGCGAACAGGAUUAGAUACCCUGGUAGUCCAUGCCGUAAACGAUGAGUGCUAGGUGUUGGAGGGUUUCCGCCCUUCAGUGCCGGAGCUAACGCAUUAAGCACUCCGCCUGGGGAGUACGACCGCAAGGUUGAAACUCAAAGGAAUUGACGGGGGCCCGCACAAG